RNAcentral lists this ribosomal RNA (479 nucleotides) under uncultured bacterium. RNAcentral's name for it is "partial 16S ribosomal RNA". It matches the Rfam family "Bacterial small subunit ribosomal RNA", at positions 28 to 523 of the family's 1533-position model. The record is from RNAcentral.
GACGAACGCUGGCGGCGUGCUUAACACAUGCGAGUCGAGCGGUAAGGCCCUUCGGGGUACACGAGCGGCGAACGGGUGAGUAACACGUAAGCAAUCUACCCUUCACUCUGGGAUAACCCCCGGAAACGGGAGCUAAUACCGGAUACGACCACUUCGGACAUCCGAUGGUGGUGGAAAGUUCCGGCGGUGAAGGAUGAGCUCGCGGCCUAUCAGCUUGUUGGUGGGGUAACGGCCCACCAAGGCUUCGACGGGUAGCCGGCCUGAGAGGGUGACCGGCCACACUGGGACUGAGACACGGCCCAGACUCCUACGGGAGGCAGCAGUGGGGAAUAUUGGACAAUGGGCGAAAGCCUGAUCCAGCAACGCCGCGUGAGGGAUGACGGCCUUCGGGUUGUAAACCUCUUUCAGCGCAGACGAAGCGAAAGUGACGGUAUGCGCAGAAGAAGCACCGGCCAACUACGUGCCAGCCGCCGCCGUAA